This 228-nucleotide long non-coding RNA is filed under the name Ananas comosus (pineapple). RNAcentral's name for it is "long non-coding RNA (ACOM_LNC028301)". Lineage: Eukaryota; Viridiplantae; Streptophyta; Magnoliopsida; Poales; Bromeliaceae. The record is from RNAcentral.
CACGAUAUAUUACAUAUUAAUAAAUUAUUAUUAUCAUAAAAAUUAUUAAUUAUACUAAAUUAAUACAUAUUAUUUGAGUGAUAAUAUUAUAAUAAAUUACACUUAAAAGUUAUAAUAGAAUUUUUUUAUUAAAUUUAAGUUUAAGUAGAUUUUGAGAAAAAAGAUAAAUUAUUUUUAGGAAUCAGGGUUUAGGAAUUUUUAGUUUAUGGAUCUGAAAAAAGUUUUUGA